RNAcentral lists this transfer RNA (74 nucleotides) under Salinicoccus sediminis. Its description in RNAcentral is "tRNA-Gly". It matches the Rfam family "tRNA". From Rfam's summary of the family: Transfer RNA (tRNA) molecules are approximately 80 nucleotides in length. Their secondary structure includes four short double-helical elements and three loops (D, anti-codon, and T loops). Further hydrogen bonds mediate the characteristic L-shaped molecular structure. tRNAs have two regions of fundamental functional importance: the anti-codon, which is responsible for specific mRNA codon recognition, and the 3' end, to which the tRNAs corresponding amino acid is attached (by aminoacyl-tRNA synthetases). tRNAs cope with the degeneracy of the genetic code in two manners: having more than one tRNA (with a specific anti-codon) for a particular amino acid; and 'wobble' base-pairing, i.e. permitting non-standard base-pairing at the 3rd anti-codon position. Lineage: Bacteria; Bacillati; Bacillota; Bacilli; Caryophanales; Staphylococcaceae. The record is from RNAcentral.
GCGGGUGUAGUUAAAUGGUAUAACCCCAGCCUUCCAAGCUGAUGUCGUCGGUUCGAUUCCGGUCACCCGCUCCA